AUUGAACGCUGGCGGCAGGCCUAACACAUGCAAGUCGAGCGGCAGCACGGGUACUUGUACCUGGUGGCGAGCGGCGGACGGGUGAGUAAUGCCUAGGAAUCUGCCUGGUAGUGGGGGAUAACGCUCGGAAACGGACGCUAAUACCGCAUACGUCCUACGGGAGAAAGCAGGGGACCUUCGGGCCUUGCGCUAUCAGAUGAGCCUAGGUCGGAUUAGUUAGUUGGUGAGGUAAUGGCUCACCAAGGCGACGAUCCGUAACUGGUCUGAGAGGAUGAUCAGUCACACUGGAACUGAGACACGGUCCAGACUCCUACGGGAGGCAGCAGUGGGGAAUAUUGGACAAUGGGCGAAAGCCUGAUCCAGCCAUGCCGCGUGUGUGAAGAAGGUCUUCGGAUUGUAAAGCACUUUAAGUUGGGAGGAAGGGCAGUUACCUAAUACGUAUCUGUUUUGACGUACCGA
RNAcentral lists this ribosomal RNA (459 nucleotides) under uncultured Pseudomonas sp. Its description in RNAcentral is "bacterial SSU rRNA". It matches the Rfam family "Bacterial small subunit ribosomal RNA", at positions 30 to 481 of the family's 1533-position model. The record is from RNAcentral. Lineage: Bacteria; Pseudomonadati; Pseudomonadota; Gammaproteobacteria; Pseudomonadales; Pseudomonadaceae.